AGAGUUUGAUCCUGGCUCAAGAUGAACCUUGGCGGCGUGCUUAACACAUGCAAGUCGAACGGGAACGGAAGGAAACCUAGUGAAUUCUGUUUUAGUGGCGGACGGGUGAGUAACGCGUGGGGAACCUGCCGUAUACAGGGGGAUAACACAUAGAAAUAGGUGCUAAUACCGCAUAAGCGCACGCCUUCCCAUGAAGGAGUGUGAAAAGGCGAAAGCCGGUAUACGAUGGCCCCGCGUCUGAUUAGCCAGUUGGCAGGGCAGCGGCCUACCAAAGCGACGGUCAGUAGCCGGCCUGAAAGGGCGGACGGCCACAUUGGGACUGAGACACGGCCCAGACUCCUGCGGGAGGCAGCAGUGGGGAAUAUUGCACAAUGGGGGGAACCCUGAUGCAUCUACGCCGCGUGAGUGAAGAAGUAUUUCGGUAUGUAAAGCUCUAUCAGCAGGGAAGAAAAUGACGGUACCUGAAUAAGAAGCCCCGGCUAACUACGUGCCGGCAGCCGCGGUAAUACGUAGGGGGCAAGCGUUAUCCGGAUUUACUGGGUGUAAAGGGAGCGUAGACGGUUAUGCAAGUCUGGAGUGAAAGCCCGGGGCUCAACCCCGGGACUGCUUUGGAAACUGUAAAACUGGAGUGCAGGAGAGGCAGGCGGAAUUCCUAGUGUAGCGGUGAAAUGCGUAGAUAUUAGGAGGAACACCAGUGGCGAAGGCGGCCUGCUGGACUGUAACUGACGUUGAGGCUCGAAGGCGUGGGGAGCAAACAAAAUUAGAUACCCUGGUAGUCCACGCGGUAAACGAUGAUCACUAGGUGUCGGAGGGUAGAGACCUUUUGGUGCCGCCGCAAACCGCAGUAAGUGAUCCACCUGGGGAGUACGUUCGCAAGAAUGAAACUCAAAGGAAUUGACGGGGACCCGCACAAGCGGUGGAGCAUGUGGUUUAAUUCGAAGCAACGCGAAGAACCUUACCUGGGCUUGACAUCCCGGCGAAUGCAGGGCAAUGCCUGCAGCCCUUCGGGGCGCCGGAGACAGGUGGUGCAUGGUUGUCGUCAGCUCGUGUCGUGAGAUGUUGGGUUAAGUCCCGCAACGAGCGCAACCCUUAUCUUUAGUAGCCAGCAGUAAGAUGGGGACUCUAGAGAGACUGCCGGGGACAACCCGGAGGAAGGCAGGGACGACGUCAAAUCAUCAUGCCCCUUAUGUCCAGGGCUACACACGUGCUACAAUGGCGUAAACAAAGGGAAGCGAGGGAGCGAUCCGGAGCAAAUCCCAAAAAUAACGUCUCAGUUCGGACUGCAGUCUGCAACCCGGCUGCACGAAGCCGGAAUCGCUAGUUAUCGCGGAUCAGAAUGCCGCGGUGAAUACGUUCCCGGGUCUUGCACACAAGGCCCGUCA
Molecule: ribosomal RNA, 1382 nt
Filed under: uncultured bacterium
Lineage: Bacteria
Description: bacterial SSU rRNA
Rfam family: Bacterial small subunit ribosomal RNA
Source: RNAcentral